CUUCUGUCUCUGCUUUGACCGGUGAAAGUCAGUGAGACUGACAAGAGAGCAAACAAGCCAAGAAUCAGUGCUACAAUGAUCAAGAGCAGGACGCCAGUGAAUGCUGCCGCACUCAAGCAAAUCGAGGUCAGAUCCCAGAUCUGGUCCCUGCAGUGAAGAUGAGGAUCGUGCUCUGUGGAGAAACAGUUACCAAAGACGGAAGAGCAUCAUCUCAGCAGGCAUGCAGAGAAAUCCCAACACCCAACUCCACCAGUGGACUUUCAUCCUGCAAGAUGAGCUGCAGGCAAGAUGAACACAGACUGACUGACAAGGAUGUGACACUGACUCUG
Long non-coding RNA from Solea senegalensis (Senegalese sole), 329 nucleotides. RefSeq lists it as uncharacterized. The record is from RefSeq and is a predicted model, not a curated record. NCBI's taxonomy places the organism in Eukaryota, Metazoa, Chordata, Actinopteri, Pleuronectiformes, Soleidae. The transcript has 3 exons.